GGCAAAUUGAGUUUUAUUUCAAUAAAUAAUUGACUAGGAUCCUAGUUAAUGGCUGGAAUUUUGGUUAGCACUAUGCAAAUUUCAAACACUUAAGAAACUAUCAUGACAUUAAUUUCAAUCCAUUUUAGUACAAGUCUGAAUUUAAUUCAGAAAAUAUAGAAACAACAUUACACCACUCCAGAUAAUUAUUGAAUUUAUUAUUUUUUAAAUUAUUUUGAACACAAGGAACCUACAGGCACACACACAUGGUCAAGACACUAAGCAGAAGCAGCAGCAGCAGCUUCUUCCUGCAACUGUUUCACCUUAGUGAUAUAGUCACUCAUUGCUUGUUCCUUUGAUUUGCCUGCCAGAAACAAAAAUUCGUCAGUGUGAAACUACUGUGCGAAUUGGCAAUGGUCAAUCAACCAGUAAACUAAAACAAAAUGUAUGCUGUCACAUAUUCUGAAUCAAUACCUUCAACAGCCUUCCAUGCAUCCCACUUUGCUCUGUCCCUCAUGUUAAACAUUCCAGGACGGCCUGCAAAUUACAUGCAAAAUGCAAUUUUAAAAUUGAACUUUGGAGGAAAUUCCAAAUGGGAACUAAUGAAAGCAAAAUACUCACUGGUGUUCACUGGUCCAACAGUGGCUUGCUUAUAAAGCCCAUAUAAAAUAAGUUUGCUCUCAUUUGUUGUAUUUUCUGGAAGGGUCUUAGCUUUCUCAGCAUACUCCUCAAAUUCCUCCUGCAGAACACCAAUUCAGUUAUUGAGACAGCAAUACAUGAUGAUUAAUUAAAGGCACUUUGUUAGACCCAACUUACUUCUACAUAUAAAUAUACACUAAUUUUCCCGGUUUCAUUGUUUUGAGAUGGUUAAGAAUAAAAGUUCUAAUUGAGAGGAACCAAUAUAUUACAGGCGGAUGAAAACAACUUUACUUCCAAAUGGAUAACACCAAGUUCCCAAAUAAGUAACCCUAUCUAUUGUCAAUAUAAGCUACUCCUCAGAACAAACAUGGAGAGACAGACUAGUCUCUAAUUGGAUCAUGAUAUCUAUUGCUUAAACCCAUGGGCAGAUAAUAAAUAUAAGAAUGAUUGGAAAUAGAUAACACGCUCUAUAUUGCAACAGAUUCCAGAAUCAACCCAUGUUAUUGUGUCAUUCAACACAAAAAAUGCAUGUGGAACUAUUCACUCCUAAAACAUGUAAUACCUACAUCUAGGUCAAGAAAUGAAAAAGUGGCAAGCAGUAAUUAGAAAUAGGGGAUGGGCCUUGUUUGGUUGGAGUUAAGUGAGCCAGGGAGCUUGUGCAAAAAAUUGACUUGUUUGGUUGAGAGUAAGUGUCCGUUUCCUAAAAAACCAUUUUUUCUCUUGGGAAAUAAGUAACUUACCCUAAGCUAAGCAACUUAACUUACUUCUGGGAAGUAGAGUUCCCAGGGAACCAGACAAUCAAAAAUAUGAACAAGAAACAGCAUGCAAUAUUAAUUUUCUGAAACCCAUAACUUAUCAACAAGAAUCAGCAUGAAAAAAGUUUGAAAAGCCAAAUGCCUCAUACUAGCUAAAAUUCCUCUUCUGUGUUUCUGUGUCUCAAGCAGUAUUUCAAGCCUACACCGUUAAGGAACCCAUCGAAUAACAGAAUAAAGAUGGACAAUUCAACAACACUAAAGGAAAGGGAACAAAAAAUAAUAAAGAAUACAUAUUAAUUAGAUCCAGAUGGAGAAAAACCAUAGAUCUAGCACAGAUACUGGGAAAAUUGAGAACAAAAACAGAUCCUGAGAAAAUUAAACAAACCAAACCCAAAUUUUCUUCAACAUCACUGAUCAUUAAACCACACACAUAGACAGACCCAUCAAGGAUAAAUAUGAGAGAAACAGAUUAGAACUGAUUCUAAUGCACAAUCCAAUGAAUCAUAAAACAGAUCUAACCAAUUAACAAUAAAAAAAUCAAAGAUCAAAUAGAAAGAUAGAUCACACAUUACAGAUUUAGCUUAGCAGAUAGGGAAAGAUCAAAGGUAGCUUUACCUUCAAACCCAUUUUGCUCGGUGAUUUGAUGAAGGAAUGAAUGCAGAGACGUGAAGCUAGCGGUAGUUAAUUACAAUGCAGAGUGAGGAAGGAAGUCUAGUAUGUAAACACUCAGAUAUUCGUAGGUUUAUUCCUUUGUACAAUUGUACGUGGCUUGAAUUGAUUGGUUAGUCACUUAGAAGUUAGUGGUCGAGAAAAAUGCUGAACGAGUGAUAGGGUAGAACGUAGUGUAUCUGAAAUUGCAUUUUUCGGAGAAUCACA
Molecule: unclassified non-coding RNA, 2249 nt
Filed under: Hevea brasiliensis (rubber tree)
Lineage: Eukaryota; Viridiplantae; Streptophyta; Magnoliopsida; Malpighiales; Euphorbiaceae
Source: RNAcentral